AUUGAACGCUGGCGGCAGGCUUAACACAUGCAAGUCGAGCGUGGAAAGGUAGCUUGCUACCUGACCUAGCGGCGGACGGGUGAGUAAUGCUUAGGAAUCUGCCUAUUAGUGGGGGACAACAUCUCGAAAGGGAUGCUAAUACCGCAUACGUCCUACGGGAGAAAGCAGGGGACCUUCGGGCCUUGCGCUAAUAGAUGAGCCUAAGUCGGAUUAGCUAGUUGGUGGGGUAAAGGCCUACCAAGGCGACGAUCUGUAGCGGGUCUGAGAGGAUGAUCCGCCACACUGGGACUGAGACACGGCCCAGACUCCUACGGGAGGCAGCAGUGGGGAAUAUUGGACAAUGGGGGGAACCCUGAUCCAGCCAUGCCGCGUGUGUGAAGAAGGCCUUUUGGUUGUAAAGCACUUUAAGCGAGGAGGAGGCUACCGAGAUUAAUACUCUUGGAUAGUGGACGUUACUCGCAGAAUAAGCACCGGCUAACUCUGUG
RNAcentral lists this ribosomal RNA (485 nucleotides) under uncultured bacterium. RNAcentral describes it as "partial 16S ribosomal RNA". It matches the Rfam family "Bacterial small subunit ribosomal RNA", at positions 30 to 507 of the family's 1533-position model. The record is from RNAcentral.